UUUUUUUUUCUUUUUUAGCUUUUUAGAUUUUUAGGGCCGAACGCACAGCAUAUGGAGGUUCCCAGGCUAGGGGUCCAAUUGGAGCUGUAGCCGCCAGCCUACACCAGAGCCACAGUAACAAUCAGAUCCAAGCUGCAUCUGCAACCUACACCACAGCUCAUGGCAACGCCAGAUCCUUAACCCACUGGUGGAGGCCAGGGAUCCAACCCACAACCUCAUGGGUCCUAGUCGAGUUUGUUUCCGUUGUGUCAUGACGGGAACUCCAGGGAUGGACUGACAUUUUUAUUGGAUCAAAUAUAUGUGUAAAUGUUCCAUGGAGAUUGGGUGAAAUAGAGACAUUGUUUUUUUUCAUUUUUAGAAAUUUGAUUGAAGCAGAGUUGAGUUACAAUGUUGUGUUGGUUUCAGGUGUGUAUAGCAAAGUGAUUCUGUUACAUGCAUACACACAUCCAUUCUUUUUUGGAUUCUUUCCCAUAGAGGUUAUCACAGUAUGUUGGGUAGGAGCUCCCCAUCAUGGCUCAGCUGUGACAAAUCCAGCUGAUAUCCCUGAAGCCAUUGGCUCCAUCCCUGGCCUUGCUCAGUGGGUUAAGGAUCCAGUGUGGCUGUGGCUCUGCCACAGGUUGGUCGCUGCAGCUCCGAUUCUACACCAGCCUGGGAACUUCCAUAUGCCACAGGUGUGUCCAUUUAAAAAAAAAAAAAAAAGGAAUAUUGGGAAGAGUUCCCUGUGCUCUGUAGAAGGUCCCCCUUGACGAAUCCUGGCACAUCCAUUAGUGUGCACGUGCCAAUCCGACACUCUGAAUGAUCCUUCCUUCUCACCUUUCACUUAUGCAAAGAAGUCUGGAUAUUAGGAAAGUUUAGAUUUUCUAGUGUAAAUGGCAGUUUUAAGUAGUCCCAACUACGCACUUCCCUCACUUCACAACUCUUAGUAAGGUAACUCGAGGACUAUAUUAAAAGGGGGGACCCAGUAUCAGUGCGCGGCUUUAAUGGAACUUGUUAUCCAUAGGGCACACCCUUUGAAAUUCUUCAAAAACUGCUGCAAGCGAGUUCGCAUCAGGGGAAGAGCAACCACAAAUAAUGCACCCUUGUGUGAAAGAAAAGCUCUCCUGGGAAAACACCCCUGAGUCAACCUAACAAUUUUCCCCGGGUGAGAGGGCGGAUAAGAGGGAAGAUCAGAGAGUGGAUAAUUGGCGAUUUCCGCCCAAGCCCCCCUCUUUAGGUCUUUGGAUAAGGUGUCUGCUGAUGGAGCCCAUGGGCACCCCUGGCUCCGUGAAGUGGGGAUGCUGCACAUUGGCUCAAAAGGAAAACAUCUAUAUUUUUGCUACCUCCAGCUUUAGCUAUUUUCUCGGACGACUGCAUCUUCAAACAGAUUAGUUGAAACUGCAGUAAUCUCUCUCUCCCCUUAUUCUUUCAUCUGGGACUGCAAUAUUUGAUCAGAGACCAUGCGAUCCCAGAAAGUAUACUUGUGGGUUUUGUCUUUUUGUGGUAUGAGACAACAAAACAAAAGCCUUAGUUUGUAAGAUGAACAGUGUGAAAAGAAAGUGCUGAAUGUGCAAAUAUAUUGAACAAUGCAAAAUUUGAGGCAAUUUUAAGAAAUGCAAAAGAUUUGCUCUUUUUUAUGAGAGUAAAAAGGAGACAGUGACAGGCUCAGAUGUGGAUGCUGCGGGGAGGGGCUAUUUUUUCCUAUUUCAGCUGAGAUUAAACAGUCAAAUUUAGAGUUCCCGUUGUGCCUCAGCAGGCUAAGGACCUGACCUUGUCUCUGUGAUCCUGUGGGUUCAAUCCGUGGCCUGACUCCACAGGUUAAGGAUCUGAUGUGGCUGUGGCUGUGGUGUAAUCUGGCAGCUGCAGCUCAGAUUUGCCCCCUGCCUUGGGAACUUCCAUGUGCUGCAGGUGUAGCUGUAAAAACAAACAAACAAAAGCAGAAACAAAUUUAAAUUCUGAUAAUGUAUAAGUGGAUUGGAAAGUAGAAAUGACCAAAACUAAUCCCCGACCUUUUCCUUAGCUUGAUACUGGCUAGCGUCUGGUAUGGUCUUGAAUGAAGCUAAGUUCUCUUACUGUGUUUUCCACAGAUAACUGCUGCAGGGAUGGCAUGUUUUCUAAGCUUUUGGUAUGCUGGGCUGGCACUGUGACCCUCGAGGGACCCUGUUUGGCUACUGAGCCCUGAAGGAACCGCAUCCAUGCCGGUGUGGGCAGCCUGGGAUACAGCGCUAAAACCUCCCAGUUCUCCCUGCAUCUAGAGCCCCAUGAAGAGCUGGUAGCAAGAGGAUAUCGGGGAGCCUAGUUUGGGGCUUUAUUUCCAUCCUAUUUCUUCUGCUCUUGUACCAUCAUUGCCUCUUCCAUGGGUGGGCAGCAGGAAAUGCGUUGUUCAGUUCACAGGUCUUUGGUUUGGGAGGAACCAAACGCCAGGAUACAAGGCAGAAAGAAGCCUCCUCCCUGGUCCCGGUGUAGAGAAUGCAAUCUAGGACCUCAAGCCUGACAGUCAUGCUGGGGCUCUUGGGAGCAGAUAAACAUGUUUUGCAAACAUGUUUUGCAAGUGGGAGGAAUGCAGUUUGUGGUAAAGGGAAGAUUAUGGCAGUUUAUUUAUUUAUCAUGUGUGCGUGCCAAUGUGUGUGUGUGUGUGUGUGUGUGUUUCCUUUUUUGUCCACCCCCUCGGCAUAUGGAAGUUCCUGGGGCCAGGGAUGGAAUCUGAGCCACAGCUGUGACCUAGACCACAGCUAUGGCAACAGCCCAAUCCUUAACCCACUGUCCCAGCUGGGAAUUGACCAGAACUUCCACAGAGACAAGCAGGGUCAUUAACCCACGGCCCCACGGUGGGAACGCCAGACUGCGGUAGUUUAAAGUAAUAGUAAUAAACUGCCGUAGGCUGCCUGUGUGUGAAGAAGCAGGACGGCUUUAACGGUGUGGUUUUAAGAAAACCCUGGAAGUAAAUGUUACAACAGACUGAAGGUGGUUUUUCAAGGAUGGUGUGGGAAGCCUAAGUCCUUAGAUGGGUGGGUUAUUUUAUUUUAUUAUGUCUUUCAGAUUCUACAGGAGGUAUCAGUAUUGCUUGGGGAAAAGUCAUUCUGAUUUUAAAUGUGAAUUUAUACCGACAUGUUUACUCUUUAUCCUUAAAAAAUAAAGAUAACUGGACAUUACCCGGUAUCCCUCUCAUUAAAACAUGACCCCUGUGUCCCUUCCGCUUGAUCUAGGUUGGGCUGGCAUUACCAGUAACCUACGGGGGAAGUGAUACUGUGUCACCUCCAGGGCAGGUUUUGAGAGGACUGGAAGUUUCUGCUUUCUUCCUCCUGGGACCAUGAGCAUCCAUGUAAGAAACUGACUAUCCUGGGAGUUCCCCUUGUGACUCAGUGGGUUAAGAACCUGACUAGUAUCCACGAGGAUGCAGGUUUGAUCCUCGGCCUUGCUCAGUGGGUUAAGGAUCCAGCGUUGCUGUGAGCUGUGGUGUAGGCUGGAAGCUAUAGCUCUGAUUCAACACCUAGACUGGGAACGUCCAUAUGCCACAGGUGAUGCUGCGUGGGCUGAGCAUGUGUGUCCUCCAAGAGUCAUGUGUUUAUGCUGUAACCUCCCGUAUGGCAGUGUUGGGAGGCGGGCUUGUGGGGGUACCUGGGUCUCGAGGACGGAGCUCUCCGGAAUGGGAUUAGUGCCCUAUAAGCAGGGGCGGGAACAGACAAUCUCUCUUUCCGGCACUGAGGGUGCUCUAAGAAGGCACCUGUCUGCCAACCAGGAAGGGGGCUCCUGCCAGACACCUAAUCUGCGGACACCUUCCCAGCCUCCAGCUCGAUGAGAAAUGCAUUUUUUUUAAUGACCACACCCAUGGCACAUGGAAGUGCCCAGGCAAGGGGUUGAAUGGGAGCUACAGCUGCUGGUCUAUGCCACAGCAGUGUGGGAUCCGAGCUCACAGCAACGCUGGGAUCAAACCUGCAACCUAAUGGUUACUAGUUGGAUGUGUUUCUGCUGCGCCGCAAUGGGGACUCCAGAGAAAUACAUCUUUGUUUAUGCUGCCCAGCCUCUGGUAUUUUGUUGCAGCAGCCUGACCUGAGACAAAGGCUCUGCACGAUUUCUCACCUUUCCUCUUACUCCAUCGUAACCACAGCCCUGUUUGAGCACAAACAGGAUGGCUAAACCUGUGUUUAUUAAAUAAGCUGGAGCAACACUGGUGGUGUUCCCAUUCUGAUGUUUCAGAAGCAAGGUUUUCCCGGAAAUCCCACAUCCCGUAGGUUUUCUUAACCUCACCCUCUAACUAGAAGUGUCUGGGGUGGGCGGAGGGCUGUGUUUGCACAGUUCAGCCCCUUGUACCUCUCUUCAUUUCGUAUACACAGAUGCCUGCAGGAGGCGUACGAUUUGGCUUGCUUCUCUGGGGAAGUGGGGGGGACAGAGUUUGUUUCUCUAGUUAAGAAUUCUCUUCCUGAGUUCUGAGUUGAAGCCUGUUGUGGAAACGCGAAUGAAGCACAUCCUCAUUGGUCAGAGAACUGCUGUUUUGAUCUCUGCUUUGUCUAUGUGUGUGUCUCAUUUGCUUCCUAGCUCUUGUGGAGCGAGAGUAUUAUUUGUGGGUGCCUUGAAACUUGGAUCUAGGUGCCCACCUGGUAACUCUUUAAGUGUAAAAAACACGGGCAUUCCCUGAGAAACUUUGGGUUGAGAAAAAGAUGUGGACAUCUCAGUUCGUUCAGUUAUGUUCCCUCAGCAGUGCUGGUGGCAUUUUAGCUUGUUAGGAGAAGUAGCUUAUCAAGAAAAUGGUUUUGUUUUUGUUUUGUGCAAGUUAGUUCAGAGUAGAACUAUUUUUGCUACACCCUUAGGUGCUAAACUCCAGAGGGGAUUGAUUAAUUGGAAACUGGUUUGAGAGAAAGUGAUACGGAUAAUGACAAGAUCAAAACUUUGGCCCUUGAAAACAUCUUUGGAGAAGUUGGAGACGCUUAGCUUUGAGAGGGGCAGACCCAUGGGGAUUUGU
This 4936-nucleotide long non-coding RNA is filed under the name Sus scrofa (pig). Its description in RNAcentral is "lncRNA (ENSSSCG00050054957.1)". The record is from RNAcentral. Lineage: Eukaryota; Metazoa; Chordata; Mammalia; Artiodactyla; Suidae.